AGCUGGUAAAACGGAACCAAAUCGUUCGCAGAUGGGAUUUGGUCCCCUUCAACCAGCUG
Molecule: microRNA precursor, 59 nt
Filed under: Petromyzon marinus (sea lamprey)
Lineage: Eukaryota; Metazoa; Chordata; Hyperoartia; Petromyzontiformes; Petromyzontidae
Description: Pma-Mir-133-o2-v1_pre stem-loop
Rfam family: mir-133 microRNA precursor family
About the family: mir-133 was first experimentally characterised in mouse and homologues have since been discovered in several other species. The mature sequence is excised from the 3' arm of the hairpin.
Source: RNAcentral